Manis pentadactyla (Chinese pangolin) is the source of this 4478-nucleotide long non-coding RNA. RefSeq lists it as uncharacterized. Lineage: Eukaryota; Metazoa; Chordata; Mammalia; Pholidota; Manidae. The transcript is spliced from 4 exons. The record is from RefSeq and is a predicted model, not a curated record.
ACAGAGAGGAUAGAGAAGCAGGAGAGGGGCAGAAGAGAGGAGUCCUGGUCACACGCUUAGACAUUUGCUCUUCUUGUGCUUACACAGGAUUUUUCUGGCAGCCAAACCCCAAGGCCCCGCCUCGGACUGAUGUCUUUGCAGGUGGCAGGCGGCUGCUACAUCAGGAGGUACAUCCAGAGUGAUACGAAACCUCCGGCAUUUGGCCAAAAAGGAUGUUACUUCUGGAGACUGACACAUCUGCCUCCUUCCUCCCCAGCUGCCUGACCAGUUUCCCUCAUCCUGGGGCUUCUGUGGCCGUUUGUUCUCAAGCAGCCCAGGGUUGGCUGUUUGGUGGCAACUCUUCUGAAAUACAAGGAGAAUCUGGCCAGACUUAAAUCCAGAACUCCUUGGUGGUUCCUGGCAAGUGUUUUUCCCACGUAGAAGGUGCCUGCUUGUCCAGACCUCACACCUUUCUUUUUACCUUUUCUUUCGUGAGUGAUGUCAAGGUCGGGUGCUAAGUGCGCCUGCCCUUUCUGCCUCCGUGCCUCCCACUGCUCCCAGUUCAUACUCUCAUCUCCUCCUAUCCUUUAAGGAGGAGCAUUCUUUUCCUUUUUGAAAACGAUUCGACUCCUUUAAACUGUUGGGAUUAUUGCCUCUAAAAGGCCCGCCUGGCACACUGCCUGGCAGCAUCUGGAGUCUGAACUGUCCAACUGACAGCCCCUCCCCCCCACUCCCUGCCUCUGAGUGGCUAAGGCAGCCAGGCAUACAUCUGGCCUACAGUUCUCUUUUCUGGCAACCCCAUUAGAUUGUUCUUAUCCUAGAAAGGAGACAGCUGUUGGGGGUGUGAGGCGAGUUCGGGCUGGGCCGUUAGCUCCCUUAUCAACCUCUCAAGGCACAGAGGCACUGUGGGAUACCUACCCAGGGAUCUCCAUCUUCCCCAUUACUAUAGAAAGAAGCUGUCAUUGGGGAGUCACCCCCUGUUUUUAGACAGGCCCAGAAGCAACUGAGUUGAGAAAGUAUACGGGUUUAGGUUGGAAGUGGGAAGCCAGCCAGGACAUUUAUUUCUGUUCUCCCUUUAGGAGCAACUGAAAUGUCUACAGAUAGUGUCUGAUCACUGAAAAACCACAUCCCUGUGGCCCAUUUCCUCUGACUUUCCAGUGGGAACCAAAUAGGAUGAAGAGUAGGGUGUACCAGUUUAUUAAGUAGUUAUAUGCUGAGGACCAGCUUGAAAGGGAUGUUUCUAACUUGAGAACAUAACCCUGUUGGUUGAGAAAAAAAGGAAGAUUAAUUUAUGUGAGGGCUGUGGCAAUCUGUUGGUAUUCUUCCAUGACAUCCUGUGGGAUUGCCUUUAAAUACACAUCUUUCCUCCGGAUUUCCUAUUAUGUUUCCUAAUUCCAGUUAAUCCAGAAGGGAUGCUUUAUUAGGGAGUCUCAAAGAGUUCAAACGUUCUUCUCUUUCCUUCCUCGGUGUCUGUUUCCCCUGCUGCCACCCCACUGUAACACAGGCUGCCAGCCCCACUGCAUCCCUUUCUGGUUCCCAAGCAUUGCUUUGUCAGGCCGGCUACAGGAUGUCAGUAGGUGGUAACUGGUGACAUUUAUAAGUUACACCUAAAGAUUGGCCUCAUCCAAAUGUUGUCUUCACUCUCCUAAGAAAUGGGAGAGGAAGUUUAUAAGAUAGAGUAACAGGGUGCUUCAUAGUGCAUACAUGAGCUGGGUGAUCCUAAUGCCACAUGCCUUAUGAAGUGUCAGCCCUGGAGCCCUGGGGAGCUUGCUGGGUCUUUCCUUGAUCCAGGCAGCACCUAGGCUUUACCUUUGGCAUCCAGGGAUAACCAAAGUGAGUAAGGCCUGGGCCAUAUUUAUUAUAUAGAGCAGGACUCAUCCAGGGUUUUGACUUCCCAGGUUGUACAAGAAGGGUCUGCUACUUAGGAGGUAUUAAAGUCUGCUCUUCUGGAGGCCCUGAAUUACACACAUUGUCUGCUCACACACCGCUGGAUAUGAUGAAUUUCUAUGAAUACUGUGUCUCUUUUAUUCUUUCCUAUGAGUUCAAAGUAGCUUUUGAAAUGUAUAAUUGGAGUCCCUGCCCUUCCCCCCAAGCCUCCGGUUCCCAGUGUGAUAGGCCUUGCAGACUGGAUUAUGGAUGACCAGACAUAGUGUGUCCCCAUCAAGAUGUUUAUCAUUUAUUAUGACUUUUGUCUUCUUUGCUAAGAAUCCUCAGAUAAUUGUUCAACUUGAUCUCCAUUUCAUUUUGUCUGUGUAGACAGAGCUAAAGAGUGGAGAAAAAUUUGGCCUACAUGACAGCUCCAGAGAGCAGUACCCCAGGAGUGGAGUGGGGAGACACUGGCAUCCUGCUGUAUACCCAGAAUGUCUCUUGCAAGUACUGAAACACACCGUGGCAAUCAGCUAAAGAAAUCUGUUAACAGGCCUUAAAACCUUGAGAAAGGCAGAACUAGGAAGAGAGAAAAGUGAAAGGAAACUAAAAGAAAGACGAGCUCAGGUGACAGAAAUGGAAAGGAACAAAGCAUGAUUUCUAGAACAGAAAACACGAGUUCAGACAGCAGAGGGGACUAGGACAAGAAGCUCCUGCUUUCCAGACUCUCUCUGAUGGCACAGCUUUCAGACAUGUGUGCACUGACCAGCGAAGACCUCUGGUUCGACAGAGAAAAAUGGAAGCUUCAGUCUCCAGCUGUUCCUCAAAGAACUGAAAGACUGUCUGCUUCGUACAGACGUACCACCGCUGCAGCCUGUGACUCUGAGGUGCAAACUUGGCCAGCCCAGAGUGGUAAUUUUAGGGGGGAGUUUUACUUUAAACCCCACACUGGCAGUUGGGUCAGAUUUUUAUGUGAUGAUUUUGUGUUCUGCAUAUAAGGAAGUACUGCUCAUUGGCUGCUAUGAAUUGCCCCAAACAUCUCUCUCCAGAAUAAACUUGUGCUUUGCAGCUGAAAUGAAACAUACUGGGGCCACACUCAGAACAGGAUGUCCAUGGCUUGGCGUGGUGGUCCGUGGUGAGCUGCUGACAUGAACCCUGGAGUGGGAACCGCCACACUCCAUAGCUGGAGCUCUCUAUGGAAGGCAGGAGCCUUCGGGAUACGGAGCUUAAGGGCUGUGAUGAGUGGCAGGCUGCGAACAUUUUGGCGGGAUGCAAAUGCACUGGACUAUUUUUAAAGGAGGCACGUACUCUUGUGCAGCAUUUGAUGAGUGGUGGUGGCAGGCCAGUUUUGGCACAGAAAGGGAGGAAAAAUAGCCACAAUUCAGAUCUUCUAGCCAGAGCAGUUUAGAAUGUAUCUCCAUGGAAAAUGGAAAUUGUUUGGGAAUCUGCUCAGGAAACAGGCAGGUGGGAAACCUGACUGCCGCUAUUGACUGAAGGACACUGGCUGUGUUGUCUGACCUUUCAGGAUGGCAGUGUCCUUUUUUGAUAAAAUGAGGAGGUUAGGCCAUUAGGGAAGCUUUCAGGGCCUUUCAGAUUUUAAAUUUGGUGAGUCUCUGGGAAAGGUAAAUAGGAAUUUGCUGAGAUUGUUUUGUGCAGUGUAUUGGGCAAGGUUCGUCAGGUGCAAGUUAUGGAAACAUUCUGGGAAUUUAUCAGUAGGACACUGAGUGCACUCACAGGAUCAAAAGAGAAGCCGAGUGCCUGAGUCAUGCAAAGGAGGGGAACCAGGACAAUGCUCGGGGUGUGGGUAGUAGACCUGAAAUGUCGUCUCCUGGGACUUUACUGACAAGUCUACCAAGUCUAACAUUUUUUGAUCUUGUAUUACUCUACCCUAGCUUCAGAGUUCCUGGGUGAGAGAGGGUCUGAUUGACCUAUCUUGGGUCCAGUACCAACUCCUUGGCAAGGGAACACAGGAUGCCUGGAUUGACAGGCCCACUAAUACUGUGUGCAAUGGGUGUGUGUGUGGUAGUGGGGCUGGGGGUGUGCGUAGGAGGUGGGAGGGAAGAAUAACUUCCCAAAGGACAAGUGUGUUGUUAUCAAAAAGAAAAAAAAAAGAUAAAAAGGAGGCAUAGACACUGCAUGCACUAAAAUAACAUAUUUUCAGUACUCAGACAUAAUGAAUAAAAGGGAGAAAGUUUGGACCAUCACAGUGUCUAUUUUUAAGGUCAUAAUGAGCACAGCUAUUGGUCUUCUCAGUGCAGUCCUAUCGAACGUUUGCUUAAAUGUUCCAGUCAGUUGAGUAGAGACGAGCAUUUCUACAUGUGGUCUGUGACCUGGCCAGGAUUCUGGCUAUUUCAGCCAUUUGUCCAGUCCAUUUAUGAGUAGAAUUGAAUGUACAGGAUUAAAUGAAGCUGAAAUGACUGGGAUGAUGGUAUUACGUCUGUCUUUUUUUUUUUUUUCUCUCUUCCCAUUCAGCUUUUAUUUUGAGGAAUUAAAAAGUUUUACAAAACUACAAACAAUUUAACAAAAAUUCCUUGGUGGUUAUAAAAAGUCAUUUCACUAGAUUGGUUUCCCACAGUAUACUGAACACAGGUAAGUUACAUGGUGUCUUUUACUUUGCAGUGGAAUGGGUAACA